This 456-nucleotide ribosomal RNA is filed under the name uncultured bacterium. RNAcentral describes it as "bacterial SSU rRNA". It matches the Rfam family "Bacterial small subunit ribosomal RNA", at positions 340 to 786 of the family's 1533-position model. The record is from RNAcentral.
UACGGGAGGCAGCAGUGGGGAAUAUUGCACAAUGGGCGCAAGCCUGAUGCAGCCAUGCCGCGUGUAUGAAGAAGGGCCUUCGGGUUGUAAAGUACUUUCAGUCGUGAGGAAGGUGUUAAGGUUAAUAACCUUAGCAAUUGACGUUAGCGACAGAAGAAGCACCGGCUAACUCCGUGCCAGCAGCCGCGGUAAUACGGAGGGUGCGAGCGUUAAUCGGAAUUACUGGGCGUAAAGGGCACGCAGGCGGUUAAUUAAGUUGGAUGUGAAAUCCCCGGGCUUAACCUGGGAAUGGCAUUCAAGACUGGUUAGCUAGAGUCUUGUAGAGGGGGUAGAAUUCCAUGUGUAGCGGUGAAAUGCGUAGAGAUGUGGAGGAAUACCGGUGGCGAAGGCGGCCCCUGGGACAAAGGACUGACGCUCAUGUGCGAAAGCGUGGGGAGCAAACAGGGAUUAGAUACC